Molecule: ribosomal RNA, 492 nt
Filed under: uncultured bacterium
Lineage: Bacteria
Description: partial 16S ribosomal RNA
Rfam family: Bacterial small subunit ribosomal RNA
Source: RNAcentral
AGUGAACGCUGGCGGUAGGCCUAACACAUGCAAGUCGAACGGCAGCACAGUAAGAGCUUGCUCUUACGGGUGGCGAGUGGCGGACGGGUGAGGAAUACAUCGGAAUCUACUUUUUCGUGGGGGGUAACGUAGGGAAACUUACGCUAAUACCGCAUACGACCUACGGGUGAAAGCAGGGGAUCUUCGGACCUUGCGCGAUUGAAUGAGCCGAUGUCAGAUUAGCUAGUUGGCGGGGUAAAGGCCCACCAAGGCGACGAUCCGUAGCUGGUCUGAGAGGAUGAUCAGCCACACUGGAACUGAGACACGGUCCAGACUCCUACGGGAGGCAGCAGUGGGGAAUAUUGGACAAUGGGCGCAAGCCUGAUCCAGCCAUACCGCGUGGGUGAAGAAGGCCUUCGGGUUGUAAAGCCCUUUUGUUGGGAAAGAAAAGCAGCAGGUUAAUACCCCGCUGUUCUGACGGUACCCAAAGAAUAAGCACCGGCUAACUUCGUG